RNAcentral lists this ribosomal RNA (249 nucleotides) under uncultured bacterium. RNAcentral's name for it is "partial 16S ribosomal RNA". It matches the Rfam family "Bacterial small subunit ribosomal RNA", at positions 57 to 305 of the family's 1533-position model. The record is from RNAcentral.
GCAAGUCGAGGGAGAAAUUUGACUUCGGUUAAAUGGAAACCGGCGAACGGGUGAGUAACUCGUACACAACCUACCCUUAACUGGGGGAUAGCCUUGUGAAACUGAGAUUAAUACCUCAUAAUAUUGAUUUAUUACAUCUUAGUUCAAUUAAAGCUCAGGCGGUUAAGGAUGGGUGUGCGUUCCAUUAGCUAGUUGGUGAGGUAACGGCUCACCAAGGCGACGAUGGAUAGGGGGCGUGAGAGCGUGAUC